RNAcentral lists this unclassified non-coding RNA (350 nucleotides) under plant metagenome. RNAcentral describes it as "partial contains 5.8S ribosomal RNA, internal transcribed spacer 2, and large subunit ribosomal RNA". The stretch from base 1 to 105 matches the Rfam family "5.8S ribosomal RNA", at positions 50 to 154 of the family's 154-position model. The record is from RNAcentral.
GAAAUGCGAUAAGUAAUGUGAAUUGCAGAAUUCAGUGAAUCAUCGAAUCUUUGAACGCACCUUGCGCUCCUUGGUAUUCCGAGGAGCAUGACUGUUUGAGUGUCAUGGAAUUCUCAACUCUAUUUGCUUUUGUGAAUAGAGCUUGGAUUUGGAGGUUUAUUGCUGGUACUUGUGAUCGGCUCCUCUUGAAUGCAUUAGCUCGAACCUUUGCGGAUCAGCUAUCGGUGUGAUAAUUGUCUACGCCGUUGCAGUGAAGCAUAUCAAUGGGCUCGGCUUCCAAUCGUCCUUUACUGGACAAUGACUUUGACCUUUGACCUCAAAUCAGGUAGGAUUACCCGCUGAACUUAAGC